RNAcentral lists this long non-coding RNA (1184 nucleotides) under Homo sapiens (human). RNAcentral describes it as "HSALNT0389508". The record is from RNAcentral. Lineage: Eukaryota; Metazoa; Chordata; Mammalia; Primates; Hominidae.
AUUAGCUACAGUGGCCUCCUGGGAUCACCAUUUGCAAUAUAAGCCCAGUGACUUAAAGGAGAGAGUGGAGAGGAAUCAUGGUAAGGCUUGUAACUCCAAGGAUGAAGAACAACCAGGGCUUGGGGAUGGGUGAAGAAUCUUCUGAAGAAGUGACCUGGCUACUCUUAUAAAGUGUCAGGUGUCAUGGGUUCAGCCAUCUCACACUAUUUAAAGUGGGGGACCCGUCCUUCACUGAUGGAGUGGACAGGUGAUCAGAGAACCAUCCCACCAAGAGAAAGACCCUCUUGAGGCCCUCCAUCUCUGCAUGUCAGGUUCACACCUUCCAGAAUGCAGAGGGACCCUGGGAAGAGCUGGAGAAGAGAAGAGGAAGAAGGAUGGGAGACGGAAGAUUCUCAGUUGGAAAAAAAAACAGCAGCAAGAAACUUUGUUUACCUUGUUGGUCAGAUUAAAUUUCUGCCACCAAAAGAAAUCGAGAUUGAAAAGCUAAGUUUAAUUAUGGAGAAAAUAAAGUUACAUUUUUUUUUGCACAACAAAGUCAUUGACUAUGAAAUUUAUAAGCAUCAUAUGAAACAGACAAUCUUAUGAAACUUACCAAGGAUGUUUCCAGCAACCCCUUGUUUAGGGAACAGAGUAAAGGGGAGAAAAGGUAGCAUUUUCAAAUCUCAAGAAAGUGUUUUAUGUCAGAAUUCAAUUUGUCCCAGAGCACAGCUGUCAAGAGCUUUGUAAAUCUAGGCCUCUAGGAGGAGAGGGCUAAAGCACUUUCAGGAUAAAGGCUAGAAGCCUAAGGCCCUGAUCAUUUGGGCAAUCCUUGUUAUUGCAUUUGUUGUUCCAUUCUCUGACACUUCUAAAAGGCUGUGGAAUCUCCAGAUGUGUUCAUAAAAUAGUGGUAGCAAUUAUUCAUUGCUUCUAGGAAAGGGAAAUGGAUAUGUUACCAACAAAGCCAGUCCCCAUACAAAUGGAGUCUUUCCCCGUUUAGUGCUGUGAAGCCAAUAUACAAAACCAAAAGUGAGUGUCAAGUAGUGCAGGCUUUAUUCCAUGGCCACUGUAUUAGUCAGGGUUCUCUUAGAGGGACAGAACUAAUAGGAUAGAUGAUAGAUAGAUGAUAGAUAGAGAGAUAGAUAGAUAGAGAGAUAGACAGAUAUAAAGGGAAUUUAUUAAGUAUCAACUUACAUGAUCACGAGGUC